UACGUAGGGUGCAAGCGUUGUCCGGAUUUAUUGGGCGUAAAGAGCUCGUAGGCGGUUUGUCGCGUCGGAUGUGAAAACCUAUGGCUUAACCAUGGGCCUGCAUUCGAUACGGGCAGACUAGAGUUCGGUAGGGGAGACUGGAACUCCUGGUGUAGCGGUGAAAUGCGCAGAUAUCAGGAAGAACACCGGUGGCGAAGGCGGGUCUCUGGGCCGAUACUGACGCUGAGGAGCGAAAGCGUGGGGAGCAAACAGG
RNAcentral lists this ribosomal RNA (253 nucleotides) under uncultured bacterium. RNAcentral describes it as "partial 16S ribosomal RNA". It matches the Rfam family "Bacterial small subunit ribosomal RNA", at positions 524 to 776 of the family's 1533-position model. The record is from RNAcentral.